GACGAACGCUGGCGGCGUGCUUAUCACAUGCAAGUCGAACGGAAAGGCCCUGCUUUUGUGGGGUGCUCGAGUGGCGAACGGGUGAGUAACACGUGAGUAACCUGCCCUUGACUUUGGGAUAACUUCAGGAAACUGGGGCUAAUACCGGAUAGGAGCUCCUGCUGCAUGGUGGGGGUUGGAAAGUUUCGGCGGUUGGGGAUGGACUCGCGGCUUAUCAGCUUGUUGGUGGGGUAGUGGCUUACCAAGGCUUUGACGGGUAGCCGGCCUGAGAGGGUGACCGGCCACAUUGGGACUGAGAUACGGCCCAGACUCCUACGGGAGGCAGCAGUGGGGAAUAUUGCACAAUGGGCGGAAGCCUGAUGCAGCAACGCCGCGUGCGGGAUGACGGCCUUCGGGUUGUAAACCGCUUUCGCCUGUGACGAAGCGUGAGUGACGGUAAUGGGUAAAGAAGCACCGGCUAACUACGUGCCAGCAGCCGCGGUGAUACGUAGGGUGCGAGCGUUGUCCGGAUUUAUUGGGCGUAAAGGGCUCGUAGGUGGUUGAUCGCGUCGGAAGUGUAAUCUUGGGGCUUAACCCUGAGCGUGCUUUCGAUACGGGUUGACUUGAGGAAGGUAGGGGAGAAUGGAAUUCCUGGUGGAGCGGUGGAAUGCGCAGAUAUCAGGAGGAACACCAGUGGCGAAGGCGGUUCUCUGGGCCUUUCCUGACGCUGAGGAGCGAAAGCGUGGGGAGCGAACAGGCUUAGAUACCCUGGUAGUCCACGCUGUAAACGGUGGGUACUAGGUGUGGGGUCCAUUCCACGGGUUCCGUGCCGUAGCUAACGCUUUAAGUACCCCGCCUGGGGAGUACGGCCGCAAGGCUAAAACUCAAAGGAAUUGACGGGGCCCCGCACAAGCGGCGGAGCAUGCGGAUUAAUUCGAUGCAACGCGUAGAACCUUACCUGGGUUUGACAUGGAUCGGGAGUGCUCAGAGAUGGGUGUGCCUCUUUUGGGGUCGGUUCACAGGUGGUGCAUGGCUGUCGUCAGCUCGUGUCGUGAGAUGUUGGGUUAAGUCCCGCAACGAGCGCAACCCUUGUUCACUGUUGCCAGCACGUUAUGGUGGGGACUCAGUGGAGACCGCCGGGGUCAACUCGGAGGAAGGUGGGGAUGACGUCAAGUCAUCAUGCCCCUUAUGUCCAGGGCUUCACGCAUGCUACAAUGGCUGGUACAGAGAGUGGCGAGCCUGUGAGGGUGAGCGAAUCUCGGAAAGCCGGUCUCAGUUCGGAUUGGGGUCUGCAACUCGACCUCAUGAAGUCGGAGUCGCUAGUAAUCGCAGAUCAGCAACGCUGCGGUGAAUACGUUCCCGGGGCU
RNAcentral lists this ribosomal RNA (1346 nucleotides) under uncultured bacterium. Its description in RNAcentral is "partial 16S ribosomal RNA". It matches the Rfam family "Bacterial small subunit ribosomal RNA", at positions 28 to 1381 of the family's 1533-position model. The record is from RNAcentral.